AGCAGUAGCCGCGGUAACACGAAGGGGGCUAGCGUUGUUCGGAUUUACUGGGCGUAAAGCGCACGUAGGCGGACUUUUAAGUCAGGGGUGAAAUCCCGGGGCUCAACCCCGGAACUGCCUUUGAUACUGGAAGUCUUGAGUAUGGUAGAGGUGAGUGGAAUUCCGAGUGUAGAGGUGAAAUUCGUAGAUAUUCGGAGGAACACCAGUGGCGAAGGCGGCUCACUGGACCAUUACUGACGCUGAGGUGCGAAAGCGUGGGGAGCAAACAGGAUUAGAUACCCCAGUAGUCCCUGUCUCUUAUAA
RNAcentral lists this ribosomal RNA (303 nucleotides) under uncultured bacterium. RNAcentral's name for it is "partial 16S ribosomal RNA". It matches the Rfam family "Bacterial small subunit ribosomal RNA", at positions 507 to 809 of the family's 1533-position model. The record is from RNAcentral.